Notolabrus celidotus (New Zealand spotty) is the source of this 591-nucleotide long non-coding RNA. RefSeq lists it as uncharacterized. The transcript is spliced from 3 exons. Lineage: Eukaryota; Metazoa; Chordata; Actinopteri; Labriformes; Labridae. The record is from RefSeq and is a predicted model, not a curated record.
UUCCCCUUACCUGUGUAAGUUCAUUGUUGUGUCCUACCUACCAGUCUUCCCUGUGUCCUCUGUGUUUCUGGUGGAUUCAGAUUUCUAAAAUUCCUCCUGAGGUAAUGCUGCCGGAUGAAAGUGUUGAUGAAGCAGCACAUGACUGAAAACCAGAGCACUUUUAACAGCUGAAAAAACCACUACAUCAUUUUGUAGCUGAUAAAUAAUGCCAAAACUGACAAAUCGCAGCAGAGCAACAAACGACACUUUAAGUCAGAAUCAGCAUUGUUACCGUCUGACAGCGAGUCUCACUGUUAAGCUCUGAGCUUAUUAAAAAAGACUGAGCACAUUCCUACAGUCCUAUCAGCUUCCAGCCCUUUAUCAUUCAGUAAAUCCUCUCUCUUAGUGACUGGGACACACGAAGGGGCAGCACUCUGGGGUGUCAUCCUAUGUCCUGGUGCUCCAUUUGAACUCAUCUAAUUGUGUCUCAUAGUUGUUUGAAGACCUCAUCAAGUGACUCAGGGAGGCCAAAAGAAAAAGCUGUUUUGUGUAGAAAGAUGGCCAUUAAAAUAUUAACCCUCCUGUUAUGUUCAGGGUCAGAUUGACCCUUUU